ACUCAAUUGGAAAGGGGAGUGGCGGACGGGUGAGUAACACGUGGGAAACCUACCCAUCAGAGGGGGAUAACACUUGGAAACAGGUGCUAAUACCGCAUAACAGUUUAUGCCGCAUGGCAUAAGAGUGAAAGGCGCUUUCGGGUGUCGCUGAUGGAUGGACCCGCGGUGCAUUAGCUAGUUGGUGAGGUAACGGCUCACCAAGGCCACGAUGCAUAGCCGACCUGAGAGGGUGAUCGGCCACACUGGGACUGAGACACGGCCCAGACUCC
Molecule: ribosomal RNA, 269 nt
Filed under: uncultured Enterococcus sp.
Lineage: Bacteria; Bacillati; Bacillota; Bacilli; Lactobacillales; Enterococcaceae
Description: partial 16S ribosomal RNA
Rfam family: Bacterial small subunit ribosomal RNA
Source: RNAcentral